UUACAAUCCUGUUGUUUUACUUUACAGUCCACUAGAUUUCCUUUACAAUCCUGUUGUUUUACUUUACAGUCCACUAGAUUUCCUUUACAAUCCUGUUGCUUUACUUUACAGUCCACUAGAUUUCCUUUACAAUCAUGUUGCUUUACUAUACAGUCCUGUUGCUUUACUUUACAGUUAUGUUGUUUUACUUUACAGUCCUGUGGUUUUCCUUUAGAGUAAUGUUUCUUUACUUUACAGUACUGUUUUACUUUACAGUACUGUUUUACUUUACUGUCCUGUUUCUUUCCUUUACAGUCAUGUGGUUUUCCUUUAGAGUAAUGUUUCUUUCCUUUACAGUCCUGUGGUUUUCCUUUAGAGUAAUGUUUCUUUACUUUACAGUACUGUUUUACUUUACUGUCCUGUGGUUUUACUUUACAGUACUGUUUUACUUUACUGUCCUGUUUCUUUACUUUACAGUCCUGUGGCUUUACUUUACAGUACUGUUUUACUUUACUGUCCUGUUUCUUUACUUUACAGUCCUGUGGCUUUACUUUACAGUACUGUUUUACUUUACUGUCCUGUUUCUUUACUUUACAGUCCUGUGGCUUUACUUUACAGUACUGUUUUACUUUACUGUCCUGUUUCUUUACUUUACAGUCCUGUGGCUUUCCUUUACAGUACUGUUUUACUUUACUGUCCUGUUUCUUUACUUUACAGUCCUGGUGUUUUACUUUACAGUUCUGGUGUUUUCAUUUACAGUACUGUUUUACUUUACUGUCCUGUUUCUUUCCUUUACAGUCCUGGUGUUUUACUUUACAGUCCUGGUGUUUUAAUUUACAGUCCUGGUGUUUUACUUUACAGUUCUGGUGUUUUAAUGUACAGUCCUGGUGUUUAAUUUUACAGUCCUGAUGCUUUAAUUUACAGUCCUGGUGCUUUACUUUACAGUCCUACUGUUUUACUUUACAGUCCUGGUGAUUUACUUUACAGUCCUGGUGAUUUACUUUACAGUCCUGGUGUUUUACUUUACAGUCCUGGUGUUUUACUUUACAGUCCUGGUGUUUUACUUUACAGUCCUGGUGCUUUAAUUUAAAGUCCUGUUGUUUUACUUUACAGUCCUGGUGCUUUAAUUUACAGUCCUGGUGUUUUACUUUACAGUCCUGGUGCUUUACUUUACAGUCCUGUUUAAGCCCCCUUUUUCUGCUUGAUACUUACUUCAAAUAAUUUAAAACAUUGGUGUUACAGGAACCAAAGAAACCCUACAUUUGACCAUGUAAACUCAAGAACAUACAAGGUAAAUAGUGGACUGUAAAGUGAACCAGCAUUAUAAUACAUGUCUGCAAGAUUUCAUAAUAUCAGGAAAUUUUGCACAGCUCAAGUGAAGUACAAUUUACAAGUGGCCCUAAUAACAAAUAACUACACAUUCUUCAGUAGCUGACCUAUGACCUUUGACCCUUCUGUCUGCCCUUUGCCUUAUUAAUAAACAUCACAUAGUUCAAGUUAAAAAAGACAAAAAUCACCCCACUACUAUACUUUUGGAGAAAGUCAAUAUGUCAACACUGUCCUGUUCCCUUUUGGUAUAUAUUUGGAAAACAUAUUGUAUACUUGUGGAAAAAAGUCCCUUUACGUUUCGGGUACACAUACACAUUCAGGCAUUCACUCUCAUCCUCUUUUCAAACUUCAAAUUCUCAAGUUAUGUUGGUUAACAUUGUGUAGCCACUAGCUACUCAAUAUAUACAGUAGUUUUGGGACACAUGCAACCUCAUACAUAUUCCCAAACAUGUCAAUCACAAAAUGUCAAUACCUAGUUGUCUUUUCAAUAGCUUAAUAGGACUAAUGAUCCAGCUGUCAACAGGGUACUUCUGGUUCUCAGUUAUACAGUUAUAUUGAAAUAAUUAAAGUUCAGCUUAAAUAAAUUAUUUGUAUUUUUUUUCUUCUUUCCAACAAAUAUAUUGUUGUUUCUAUCAGCAUUCAGUCACACAUUUUGUUGAAGAAAACAUGUGCAACUACAGAAAAAACAAAAGCAGUUUUUUUUAUACUUCAUGCCAACUGCCCACAAAAAUAGAUUUAAAAAAAGUACAUUUAAAACUACUUCAUAAACAUGAGCAUAUAGCAGUUCUCCCUGUGCUGCAAACAUUAAAGGAAAUUAUAUCAUAUCCCUGACUAAAUAUACCAACGAACACAAAACAAAAAAAAAUGCAAUUGGUAUUUUUUACAGUAAAGUAUUGACAGAACUGCGGGAUAAGAGAUUGGCUAAAAAUGUAAAAUUCUAUUCUAGAACAGAGUGUAAAGUAUUCCGGAAUGUCCUUUACGUCUGUGUCUCUCCACAGCAGGUUCCAAUGUGUCAGUAUCUACAGAAACACACAUGUAUCAUUCAAUGCAAUGAUUAUUAACAACAUUUUUGUAGAAAUAUUUGUUGUAAGGAAAGUUUGGUCAGUGCAACUAACUAACAGCAACACAUUAGAAACACUGAGUACGUGUUUACAUGCACACUAGAAGUUAAACUGAUUAUGGCAGUAGUCCGAAUAUGCUUUUAAUCAUGUAAACCCCUUAAAUCGGGUGUAAGAUCAAAAUCGAAGUUAGAAUACGUCGAUUAAAACACCUGGUUUUCCGGCCAAUCUUUCAAAUUAUUGGGACAUUUAAAUAGCUUAAACGUAUUUUAUCUGCGCAUGUAUCAGCACAAGCCACCCUCUUAAUGUGCAAGUGGAGCGGCAGGUAGCCUAGAGGUUAGAGAGUUGGACUGAUAAGGUUGCAAGAUCCAGCUGACAAGGAAAAAAUCUGUCAUUCUGCCCCUGAACAAAGACAGUUAACCCACUGUUCCCCGGGCCCUGAACAAAGACAGUUAACCCACUGUUCCCCGGGCCCUGAACAAAGACAGUUAACCCACUGUUCCCCGGGCUCUGAACAAAGACAGUUAACCCACUGUUCCCCGGGCCCUGAACAAAGACAGUUAACCCACUGUUCCCGGG
Molecule: long non-coding RNA, 2945 nt
Organism: Oncorhynchus tshawytscha (Chinook salmon)
Lineage: Eukaryota; Metazoa; Chordata; Actinopteri; Salmoniformes; Salmonidae
Source: Ensembl